GUGUAACUCAUUAGAUUAGUCACAUAUACUGAAUCAAUUACUGUAAGUCCAAUUAAUUAAGGAGUUCUAUUCCUAAUCAGAUCUAGACUGGAAGUCAAUUUUGAUUAGAGUUAGUCUUUUGACGGGACAAGAUAAGUGCAUAUAUAAAUAUAGAGGUGAUAUGAUCUCUUUCUCUAAUUCUCAAAAAGAUAUGAGCGAUUCCCAUCGAUCAUCUACGUUAAAGAGGAGG
Molecule: long non-coding RNA, 229 nt
Filed under: Elaeis guineensis (African oil palm)
Lineage: Eukaryota; Viridiplantae; Streptophyta; Magnoliopsida; Arecales; Arecaceae
Description: long non-coding RNA (EGUI_LNC016868)
Source: RNAcentral